UAGGGAAUCUUCGGCAAUGGACGAAAGUCUGACCGAGCAACGCCGCGUGAGUGAAGAAGGUUUUUGGAUCGUAAAACUCUGUUGUUAGAGAAGAACAAGGACGUUAGUAACUGAACGUCCCCUGACGGUAUCUAACCAUAAAGCCACGUCUAACUACGUGCCAGCAUCCGCGGUAAUACGUAGGUGGCAAGCGUUGUCCGGUUUUAUUGGGCGUAAAGCGAGCGCAGGCGGUUUCUUAAGUCUGAUGUGAAAGCCCCCGGCUCAAGCGGGGAGGGGUAUUGGAAACUGGGAGACUAGAGUGCAGAAGAGGGGAGUGGAAUUCCAUGUGUAGCGGUGAAAUGCGUAGAUAUAUGGAGGAACACCAGUGGCGAAGGCGGCUAUCUAGUCUGUAACUGACGAUGAGGCAAGAAAGCGUGGGGAGCAAACAGG
Molecule: ribosomal RNA, 429 nt
Filed under: Gemmatimonadota bacterium
Lineage: Bacteria; Pseudomonadati; Gemmatimonadota
Description: Gemmatimonadetes bacterium partial 16S ribosomal RNA
Rfam family: Bacterial small subunit ribosomal RNA
Source: RNAcentral